UGAAAUUUUCUGACUGCGGUUCUAAUAUAAAAAGACCAAAGCCACCUGGGGCACAUUAUAGAAAGAAGAAGAAAGAUGAGGAUGAAAGGAGAAAAAAGUAUAGUGAUGCUCUCAAGACGUUUUUGGGGAGAGGCAAAGAAGAUGCUGCUGCCACUGAAGGAGAACCAUCACGACUGGAAUCAAUCCCCUCUGAGACUCUCCUUUUCCCUGCUUCUUUGCCAGAUUAUUCCGUGAGUUUCCUAUGCAAGAGGCGCUCCCUUUCACCUGUUUGUUUCCCUUCCUGCCUGAGUCCUGUCUGGAUCUGCUGUAUCCUGUGAGACCCGAGACUAUACGCCGCUAGACCUGGACCUUUUGCUGUACCCUGCUUCUGUUUCUGGAAUAUCUCUGUAGUUUGCCUAACGCCCGUAUCGACGGCAGUUUCUGUUUGUUAUUUAUAGAAGAGGAUUUCUGUUCACCUGGACUGUUACUCUUUUAUUAUUAAAGACAUUGCAUUAUUACAUUUCGC
Esox lucius (northern pike) is the source of this 505-nucleotide long non-coding RNA. RefSeq lists it as uncharacterized. NCBI's taxonomy places the organism in Eukaryota, Metazoa, Chordata, Actinopteri, Esociformes, Esocidae. The transcript is spliced from 3 exons. The record is from RefSeq and is a predicted model, not a curated record.